Molecule: ribosomal RNA, 497 nt
Filed under: uncultured bacterium
Lineage: Bacteria
Description: partial 16S ribosomal RNA
Rfam family: Bacterial small subunit ribosomal RNA
Source: RNAcentral
GAUGAACGCUGGCGGCGUGCCUAAUACAUGCAAGUCGAGCGAACGGACGAGAAGCUUGCUUCUCUGAUGUUAGUGGCGGACGGGUGAGUAACUCGUGGAUAACCUACCUAUAAGACUGGGAUAACUUCGGGAAACCGUAGCUAAUACCGGAUAAUAUUUUGAACCGCAUGGUUCAAAAGUGAAAGACGGUCUUGCUGUCACUUAUAGAUGGAUCCGCGCUGCAUUAGCUAGUUGGUAAGGUAACGGCUUACCAAGGCAACGAUGCAUAGCCGACCUGAGAGGGUGAUCGGCCACACUGGAACUGAGACACGGUCCAGACUCCUACGGGAGGCAGCAGUAGGGAAUCUUCCGCAAUGGGCGAAAGCCUGACGGAGCAACGCCGCGUGAGUGAUGAAGGUCUUCGGAUCGUAAAACUCUGUUAUUAGGGAAGAACAUAUGUGUAAGUAACUGUGCACAUCUUGACGGUACCUAAUCAGAAAGCCACGGCUAACUACGUG